AUGGCAGAACACAUCCAGACAGCUCGCUGGCUGCCCCUGAGCUCUGCAGCCAAGGCAGACGCGUUUGCCCCAAGCAGUCAGGACAGGUGGGAACAUGCCAGGCCACAGGGCCGGUCCAACGUCAGCCUCAGGCGGGCAGAUCAUGGCAGCCAGCGGGAUGCCUCCUGCACCGCAUGCGGCUCCUCCAGACACUCCCGGCCGCAGCGGGAGGACAGCGUACGUGUCCAGCCAGGGCUGGUGUCUGCUCAAGGACUGCUGAAGAUACUCUCUCUGCUGUCGAACAUGUAUUACUCCACUGGACAGAAUCUUACCAACCUUCUUUGGUUUAAAAAGUCACAGGAAACAAUCCUGGGUGGAUUCCCUAUCAGGACUUUGAAUAUCUGCUGUUACUUGAAACUGCCUGAUCUGGGAUCCAUUAAAGAGGAGCCCAAGCCAGGGAGCAGUGGUAUGGCACCAAACACUCAGGAGCAAGGCCACAAGAAUCUAACCCAACUGUGCAAGAAAACCUUCAUUAAUAAUAUCCACAGUAAUUAUGUCUGAAACUUUUUCCACUCUCUCUAAACAAGGGGUAACUAAUUUGAGAUAGAUAGCAAUAACU
This 598-nucleotide long non-coding RNA is filed under the name Meleagris gallopavo (turkey). RNAcentral's name for it is "lncRNA (ENSMGAG00000017632.1)". The record is from RNAcentral. Lineage: Eukaryota; Metazoa; Chordata; Aves; Galliformes; Phasianidae.